AGAGAACACAGGACGCGCUGAGCCACGCAAGCCUGGGUGGAGGCACCUCAGGGGCGCCCCCGACAUGCUCUGGGAGACGCCUGGCGCUGCUCCUUGAGGUCCGGGGAUGCGCACUUGGAACCGAGGAGCCAGGUCCACUGAUGGGGCCCGAGGCUGCCCGCGGGUCCGGAGCCUGUUUCUGACCCAGAGGAGCGGGAAGCGGUGGGUGUGGGUGGAAUGUGCUGAGUGCGCCCAGCUCCGUCAGGGUUUACAGACGCUGAAGUGAGAAGCAGCUGGCACCUCUUCCUCCCUGGACCUCCAGUAGAAGGCAGGAAACCACAGGGCUGGGUGCUGGGGCCUGAUCUGGGGCCAAGUCCUUGCUCUGCCCCCGCACACCAAGUGACCUCGGAAGUGUGACCGCUGAGCCUCCUGUCACACCCGCUCUGUGGGUGAGAGGUGUACACCCUGCAGGCUGAUGCUGGGGUUACCGCCCCUGAAGUCCCUGGCCCAGAGCAGAGGCCCCAGAAGAGCGGACGUCUCACCACCCAUCUGUCCCAACAGCCACAUCCAGGAGCAUCGGGGACAUCCUAUGAAGGCUCAGAGGAAGGGGCCCGCACCCAGGACCAUGGCCUGUGAGGAGGGAGCGCUCCAGCUCCAGUCCUGGGGCCCCACCCAGCCACGGGGCCUGACACCUCUGCCAUGGGCGCUGGAACACGUCCAAGGCCUGGGAAGAGACUCUGAACCCACCAGGCUGGAUGACUCCCACCUGCAGUGCCGGCCCCGCUGAGGGCAGCUCCUAAGGGCAAGGGUCUGCACUGGACUGCGUGGCUGGAAUCAAAGCUGGCUAUGCUGAGCAGAGAGCAGGACCAGACCUUAAGACCCUAAAGAAAAACCUAAGAGGGAACAAACUGCCACAGCCCGCCUGAGGUGAAGAGUGAAACCGCAUGUGAGGAGAAAGAGAAAAAUUCACAACUUGCUUUAACUGCAGUGGUCUGGAACCAAACCCACAGUAUCUCGGAGGUCUGCCUCUUAACAGGAACCAACUCGCUAAGUGUGUUGGCUAAACGCGCACCUUAACCUGAGACAAGACACGGCCUUCCCCUCCCAGACUCGUGGCUGCAGAGACUCCCUCGCUGAGCCCGCAGUCACUCUUGGGACCCUUCUCUUCACCUGACUCAGGAAGUCAGCUGACGACACCCUACCGGUUUCCAGUUUGGUGGCAGCUGCUCUGUUACCCCUUCCCCCAGGAGGACCCGGCGCGUUCCUCUCCCCGCCUUGGCUUUGCCCCUCAGCCUGGCUCCUCCCGGAGGACGCGUCUCCUGUAACUCCUAGCCUGUACUCGGGCUGUUGGGCUCUCCGUUCUCUGUGGAAUGUCCAGCUCUCCUCUCCUGACUCCCCGGGGCCUCCAGCAGCUGCACCUCCAGUUGCUGCUCCGGAACUACCUGUGGGGGAGCCCCCAGCACACUUCCAGCAGCAGCCCUAGAGAGGACAGCACAGCCUCCGGGAGAGCAGCAUGGGAGGUGAUUGAAGUGGUGAGGUAGAAGAACACAGAGUCCACUCCGCCCACAAAUACAUCAAAACUACACUUAAAACUGGAACAGUUUUCACAGAACACCAGCUGAGAGCAGCUGGGUAUCAAAUACCUGGCGCUGAAAGAAAGAUCCCCACUUAACCUGAGCAAAAUUCCCAGGAGCUAAAGCCAUUUCAAACAGAAACCUCACAGAUAACAUCUUCCAGGGCUAGGAAUGGCCAGCUGGUGCCUGUUGAUGAGCGGUGCCGCCAGCACCGACGCCCCUUCUGAAGCGCCUGGUCAAGCUACUUCCCACCUCCAAACCUCGUGAACAAGGACGAGGCCCCAUGUUGUCUCUACGUCUUCACUGCACUUGAAUUCCCCGUCACCUGCAUCCCUCAGGGGACAGGGGGGUGGCAGGAGGUACUGGAACUGACGGCACUGGCCUGGCCUGGCCCCCACUGCUCUGUCCUCUAGAGCUGCAGCGACACACCGCCGUGACAUCCAGCCCAAGAACCCACAGCAUCCAACCGCAGGGGACACGUCUGUGGCUUCCCACUUCCUCUUUCAUACUGAUGCCCAGAACUGACCUUUCUUAGAGGAACCAGGUUAACAGUGUGUGUACACGGCAGAAACACCUGCCUCGGGACACAGCACAGCUUUGUUUAUGAAGAAGAAAUGACUUCUCUGCAGGCCUGUACUCCAGGUGUUUGAGAGCAAAGAACCCAAGACCCCAGUGUGAUCAGAGCAUCCAGUCCAUGUGGUCAGUGCUCUCUUUAGUGUGACCUUUGGAAAAAGAGAUCAUGGUCCCCUCUGAGGUUAAUCCAUCAGCCAGCACAAUCCUGCUUAUGCCUCGGACUUUGGUUCUGACAAAAGUUCUAACCAAAAAUCACGUGGUCUGGAGUGGGUCAGAACUCAGCCUCCUUACUUUGUCAUUUAGAAACAUGAGCUGCUACAUACAAUACAUGUUGAAUUAAACAUGUCUUCACCUAUUCAGUUCUUCCUCUACCAUCGUCACAGUUUUCUUGUGUGAAGCCAAGAAGAGCAGAGAGCAUAAGAGAGAAGCUAUUUGCUAACAGGGACUCCCCUGGUAGAAGUCAUAAAAUACAGAUGAUUUCUGCCUGUUACCCUGAAUGACCUGCAAGUCAUUUUGUUAAGACAGGAUCAAUGUUUUAGGAGCACUCGGCCAGGUUUGGGUGGAGUGAUAUCUGUUGUCUCCAGCAAAGCCCAUGGAUGAUUCACAGAUGUUAUCAAGUUGACAGAAUUCAGAAAGUAUAAAAACAGCUGGGAGCCCCUAAAGCUUCACCGCAGGAUGAUGAGACAGCAGCUGGCUCUUCUGAGGAAAAGCAGACAGUGAUGCCCACACACUUCCCUCACGUUCACGGCAGAUGUGAUUUUGAUGAGCUGGGGUACAACAGGACCAUGUCAACAAGCGUUCCACUGAGCUGGGAUCGAUGGCCUGCAGUCUGUGAGAGCCCUGUGACAGCCCCUGCCUGCGCAAACCCCUCCCUCGGAGUGUUGGCUGGACCCAGGACUCGCCUGACCACAGAGCAUAGCACCCCUCUGGAGUGAGAGGACGUCACUCCAGAGAUGAGACCGCAGCAAGGCUGCGCUUCCAUCCUGGGGGCCCCUCUCUCACUUGCUGGCUCUGAUGGGAGCUGGCGGCCGGGUACGCACAGCCCCAUGGAGGGGCCCACACAGUGAGGGAUGAUGUCCCGGCCCUGAGGCUGGGAGCCUGGGAGGGGACCCCCGCUCCAGUCAGUCGUGAGAUGCCUGCAGGCCUUGCCGACUCCUGGAUUACAGCCUUGAGGGGCAUGCUGGUGAGCCUGUGCAGACACAUGGACACUGUGAGGGGGCCAGCGUCUGUUUUGGGGUCACUUGCUAUCCAGCAAUAGAUGCAGGGGAUGGUCAUGAUGGAAUAUCACCAAAUCUCAUCUGAAGUAAAAAUAUGCUUGAUUUCAUGAAGCUCCGGUCGGUGGUGUAAUCAAGGGUCUAGGGGUCCUGGCCACAGAGGAAGGAGGCGGUCACUUUGCUCUCUCCUCUUCUGACUACUCAGCCUCUCAAAUGAAUCCUUUUGAAUGACUUUUAAGUUUAUUUUUAAAAUAAAAAAAUAGAUAAAAACCUGCUGUAUAACACAGGGAACUCUACUCAAUACUCAGCAAUGACCCAUAUGGGAAAAGAAUCUAAAAAAUAGAGUGGAUAUAUGUAUAUGUAUAACUGACUCACUUUGCUGUACACCUGAAACCAAGAGAACACUGUUGAACAACCACACUCCAAUAAAAUUAAAAAAAAAAAACAUAGAAUAAAAGGGCCAGCAGAAGAGGUGGGAUGAUUUGCUUAUUUUGGUGAUAGGUAUAGAUGCAUAAGUGCUAGUACUGGUUUGUUUUUUUCUCUGUAUCUUGCUAAGUAAUAAAAAAAAUGUUGGCCUGAUUAAUCAUAAAAAAAUACAUGUGUAUAGUUUAAAAGACUCAGGCAUUAAGGGAAAAAUACUGUGAAAAAAAUUCACCCCAUCUUGUGCCUCAGUCCCUCACCUUAGAGGCAAUUUCUUAAUAAUUACCACUUUCAUGAUCAUUCUCUCAAAAGUUCUCCCCCACACCAGAAAAAAAAAUAUGUCAGCAUAUGUUACUAUUGAAAUAUCUAUCUCCUUGUUUUUAAUAUAAAGUGCAGCAUAAAAUACCCUAUUUUGCAUUUUGCAAAAUAAAUCUUGGGAUGGCCUGAUAACAGGA
Molecule: long non-coding RNA, 4215 nt
Organism: Capra hircus (goat)
Lineage: Eukaryota; Metazoa; Chordata; Mammalia; Artiodactyla; Bovidae
Exons: 11
Source: RefSeq, a predicted model, not a curated record